GAGCGAUUAAUUGCGAAGGAGUCAGAGCAUCCCGACUUCAGUCGGGAGGGUCACUAGUUCGAAUCUAGUAUCGCCCACGA
RNAcentral lists this transfer RNA (80 nucleotides) under Bacteroidota bacterium. RNAcentral describes it as "Bacteroidetes bacterium tRNA-OTHER". The record is from RNAcentral. Lineage: Bacteria; Pseudomonadati; Bacteroidota.